AUUUGUCCCCUAAAUAGGGACUUGUAUGAACGGCCAACUGAGGUUCUAACUGUCUCAUUAGACUAAUCAAUGAAACUGAUCUUUCAGUACAAAAGCUGAAAUAAAAACAUAAGACGAGAAGACCCUGCGGAGCUUAAAACCAAUACUAUUAACCACAUUUUCCACCUUUUCAGUUGGGGCGACUUUGGAACCAAAAAAAACUUCCAUGCUAGGCCCCUAUUAAGGCGAACACGCCAAAAUAAACCCUUAUUGACCCAGCCUGCCUGAGCAACGAACCAAGUUACCCCAGGGAUAACAGCGCCAUCCCCUUCAAGAGUCCCUAUCGACAAGGGGGUUUACGACCUCGAUGUUGGAUCAGGACACCCCGGUGGUGCAACCGCUA
RNAcentral lists this ribosomal RNA (382 nucleotides) under Amalosia robusta (robust velvet gecko). RNAcentral's name for it is "Nebulifera robusta (robust velvet gecko) partial 16S ribosomal RNA". It matches the Rfam family "Bacterial large subunit ribosomal RNA", at positions 1967 to 2564 of the family's 2925-position model. The record is from RNAcentral. Lineage: Eukaryota; Metazoa; Chordata; Lepidosauria; Squamata; Diplodactylidae.